GUUGGUGAGCUAUAUUGGAAUUACUUCUGAACAGCAAGGAUUACAACAAGCAGCGAUAUGGAGGGGCCUCAAGGAUUGUCAACUUUGCUCUAGACUAGCAGAGUAAGGCAUCAGUGGAGAUGAUGGUGAUGAUGACUUGCUAAAGCGCAAGACCUUUUGUGGUUUCUGGUACUAAGAUCUCUUGGAGUUGAAAAACCAACGACCAUCAAUAUGGAGGGACGGGUAAGUCAUUGGCUUAAGUUUCAGCUGAUUUGUGGUCGGGCUCUUGGAUUGCCACUAGAGCGGCCAAAGAGUGUAAACAUGGAGAGGUUGCUUGUCUAACAAGAGGAGCCAAGAAUCAGUAUACCUAAGACAUCUUCAGUGAUCCUAAUGGACCUUAUAAGACAUUCUGAAUUCUGAGUUACUGUACGUGGGCUCCCAUCAUCUGCUCCAUGGCAAAAUUUGAAGGAUCAUUUGCGGAGAGCUUGUGAUGUGUGCUUUGCUCAGGUCACUCGAGACAGGUUGUGGAAAGGAGAUGCUUUGAGGAAUGAAUGUCACGGAGAAGGAUUGAAGAAUGAAGAAGAAUACUCAUGUCUGCUUUAUCUCAGAGAGAUGGAUUGAAGAAUGAAGAAGAUCGCUUACGCAGACUGCUUAAGCUGAUAUGUGACCGGCCUCUUGGACUGCCACUAGAGCGGUCAAAGAGUGUAUAAACAUGGAGAGGUUGUAUGUCCCCCAAAAGGUGAAGCUUCGUGGGGAAUCAGCAGAGGAUUAUCUUGGCAGCUUCUCGUCCAAAGCCUGGGGGAUCACAGGUGGUGGUUAUGCAACUUUUGCUUUUUCAUGCUGGUCAAUCAGAAGUCAACUUCAACUUUCUGCUUCAUAGCAAGAUUUGAAGGAUCAUAUGCGGAGAGCUUAUGAUGUGUGCUUUGCUGAGGUCACUCGAGUCAGAUUCAGUUCUCCUCAUCCAUAAGUUAUGAUGCAAUCUUACACAACGAUGGUCAAAUCGUAUUCUAAAGAUUGGAUUGGGGUUUGUUUCUGGAGUCCAGAAAGACGACGACGAUAUCUAUGUUAUUGUUAAUCAUCUGGAGAGUAUUGGGUUUUAACAAGAAAAGCCAAGAAUCAGUCUACGUGGAAAGGUUUUGCACGCAGCUUUGAAGGUGCUACAAGUCAGAGAGAUUGAUUGAAAAAUGAAGAAGUCUUAAGCAGACUGCUUAAGUUACGUGGGCUCCCAUCACCUGCUUUUCACUAUGUUCUCUCUCGGUUCCUAAUUUUCAAAAUGCUAACUGUUACUAAGGUCUCAGUCUGAUUUUGGAAACCAAUGAUUUGUUUUAAGCUUGCUUAUGGAGCGACGUGGUUCUGGAGAAAGGUACAUUUGAUCAUGACAACAUGAUGACAAAUCUGAUUUUGGAAACCAAUGAUUUGUUUUAAGCUUGCUUAUGGAGCGACGUGGUUCUGGGGAAAGGUACAUCUGAUCAUUACAACAUGAUGACAAAGUCUCCAUCUCAUUUUGGAAACCAGUUAUUUGUUUUAAGGUGCAGAGCAUACUUCAGAUCUUUGAUUUGAAACUUUAUCUUAAGAAGGUUAAAAUAUGGCUUGGAGACGAGGCAGGAGAUCACUACUACUAUGUUCUCUCUCGGUUCCAAGUUUGGAGAAUGCUAACUGUUACUAAGAUCCCAAAUCCUGAGGGGCUAUAAAGAUUUCUUUUAAGCUCUAGAAGCUUCUUAUCGACAGCAGUCUUCCUGAUAUGUCUCCGUCUCAUUUUGGAAACCAAUUAUUCGUGACAACAAGGGAAGUCUGGUGCCAAAGAAGUCUACUUUCUCUUCUGGUACUAAAGCGUCUGCAUCUCAUAAACUGGUCACUGACCUGAUUUUCAAAUACCUUUGCAGAAUGGUGAGUUGAAGUAACAAUACUUGGGAUCAAAUUUCAGGGAAUUGAUUACUUGAAGUAUGACAACUGCAACUCGCUCUUCUGUCCCCAAUUCUUAAUUCCUUUUGUCUCAAUCUGAUUUUGGCAAACAAUUUUUUGUUUAAGGCCUCAGUCUGAUUCUGGAAACAAAUUAUUUGUUUAAGUUUGCAGCUUGGUUUUGGACCGACGUAGUUAUGGCCUUAUUGGGGAGAGUACAUUAUUAAAUCAUUACAACUGUUGUUGCAGUUGUUGCUGUUUAAGUAAAAUGUCUUUGGUGGACCAGAAAGUGAUGGAAGUGGUACAAUUGUUGAUGCAGUUUCACGUCCUGGAUGAGACAUUUCAGAUCCUGUGAUUUCUGCAACCCUUAGUAUUGUGCAGGUCUUCUGGGGUUUGGACAAAAAGCUUUCCCAGAGAAAACAUUUGCCCUCUGUUAAUUAGUUGAUUUCCUACUCAAAAGUAUUCAACGGCAUUGGGAUCUUUCUAUGAGAAGUUCGGACCAGACAUCAUCAACAUCAUGAGGACAAAGGCCAGAGAGGGUGUUGCAGAGGGAAGAGGGAAGAGGAACUUAAUGAAAUUGUCCAGGCUAAAGGAAUUUGCUCUUUCACACCGUAAGAAGAUUCCUACAUCUUGCUCUUCCGCUUUUGGUGAACCCUAUACGACCAAGAAAAGGUUAAUCUCUAACAGCAGAAGAUCAACGAUGGCUAAGAUUUAUUCUUACAUUACAGAGUAUUUUGGUAUGUUAUGGGGUGAUAGCAUUGGGAUCAGCUCUAAAGCACAUAGUUAAUAUAUAUCCAGAAUAACACUUUAGCC
Camelina sativa (false flax) is the source of this 2691-nucleotide non-coding RNA. The record is from RefSeq and is a predicted model, not a curated record. NCBI's taxonomy places the organism in Eukaryota, Viridiplantae, Streptophyta, Magnoliopsida, Brassicales, Brassicaceae.